RNAcentral lists this ribosomal RNA (484 nucleotides) under uncultured bacterium. RNAcentral's name for it is "partial 16S ribosomal RNA". It matches the Rfam family "Bacterial small subunit ribosomal RNA", at positions 30 to 507 of the family's 1533-position model. The record is from RNAcentral.
AUUGAACGCUGGCGGCAGGCCUAACACAUGCAAGUCGAGCGGAUGAAGGGAGCUUGCUCCUGGAUUCAGCGGAGGACGGGUGAGUAAUGCCUAGGAAUCUGCCUGGUAGUGGGGGAUAACGUCCGGAAACGGGCGCUAAUACCGCAUACGUCCUGAGGGAGAAAGUGGGGGAUCUUCGGACCUCACGCUAUCAGAUGAGCCUAGGUCGGAUUAGCUAGUUGGUGGGGUAAAGGCCUACCAAGGCGACGAUCCGUAACUGGUCUGAGAGGAUGAUCAGUCACACUGGAACUGAGACACGGUCCAGACUCCUACGGGAGGCAGCAGUGGGGAAUAUUGGACAAUGGGCGAAAGCCUGAUCCAGCCAUGCCGCGUGUGUGAAGAAGGUCUUCGGAUUGUAAAGCACUUUAAGUUGGGAGGAAGGGCAGUAAGUUAAUACCUUACUGUUUUGACGUUACCAACAGAAUAAGCACCGGCUAACUUCGUG